Molecule: long non-coding RNA, 2499 nt
Organism: Magnolia sinica
Lineage: Eukaryota; Viridiplantae; Streptophyta; Magnoliopsida; Magnoliales; Magnoliaceae
Exons: 3
Source: RefSeq, a predicted model, not a curated record
GAUUCACAUGGAUUGUGAUAUACAUUUACUCUCACUUUCAAAUGCAUUUUCCGAUUCAUCUUUCAGUUAUGAGAAUCAUUUCUGAUAUGGUAUAGCUGUUUUGGUGUGAGUCUCAUAUUCCAUUUCAUAUUUUAGAUCCAUUUGUGUACAUGAUUAGUCUCAUAUUGAUUUUCAUUUUCAGUUACAAAUUUCAGAUGUCGUUUGCACUGCUAUAUGUCUUUGGUUCUCUAAUUUCUGGUGGAACGAGAUUCAGACUUAUGGGCCAGCUUGAAUUGGAUUACGUCUUUAGCAUUAGUUUCAAGUUCAGAUUCAUUGGCAGUUGUAGAUUUCAUAUACAGUCUGAUUUUUGAGGGAUGUUUCUUUUCAUGUUUCGGUUUCAUUUUAUGUUUCAUGUUCAGAUUCACUUGAAUUGUUAUAUACAUGUACUCUCAUUCUGAAAAUCUUAUUUCAGUUUCAAAUCGUCAAAUAUGCGAUUCAUUUUACAUAAGUUUUUGCUUUUUUGUUUCAUGUUACAAUCUCUUAUUUAGUCUUAUAUUUGAGAUCCUGUCCUAACUUCUGUAUAUGUUUACUCUUACUCUUACAUUCAGUUUCAGUUGGGAGCUUUAUAAACAUGUCUGCAAUAUUAUGCAUUUUUUGCUUUCAGAUGUCAGUAUCAGAUUCAGAAACAUGAUUUUAGAUCCUAUCAGAUAUACUUCAAGAAUUUUGGCUUAGUUUCAAAUUCAGUUUCAGUUUCACUUUCAGAUUCCCUAUAUCCUGUGAACUUCUGUGGUUGUUAAUUUCCAUGUUUCAGUUUAAUUUUCAGUUUCAUCUUUCAUGUUCACCUGCCAAUGGUGAUAUACAGUUAGUCUCAAUGUUGAUAAUCAUAUUUAGUUUUAUUGUUUACUUUCAUGUUACAUUUUCUUGUUCAGAUUGUACACUGAGAUCCUGCUCCAGAGUAUAGGAUCUGUUUAGUUUUAGUCUCUCAUUCAGUUUCAGAUGCAGCUUUGUAAAUAUGUUUGCACUGUUAUAUAUUCUUUUUUACAAGUUUCAAUAUCAGAUUCAAAAUAUUGAUUUUUAUCUCCUGCUUGAAAUUCUUCAAGUGUUUAGCCUUACUUUAAAAUUCAGUUUCAGUUUCAUUUUCGGAUUCCUGCUACCCUGUGAACAUCUAUGGCUGUUAACUAUUAUGUUUCGCAUUCAUUUUCAGUUUCAUGUUUCAAGUUGACUUGAAUUGUGACAUACAGUUAGUCUUAAUUUUCAAAUUCAUUUUCAGAUUCAUCGUUCAGUUAUGAGAAUCAUUUUUUAUAUGGUAUAGCUGUUCUGUUUCAUGUUUCAUAUACCGUUUCAGAUUUGAGAUCAACUUGUGUACACGAAUAGUCCCAUUUUGAUGUUCAUUCACUGGAUUACAUAGCAAAUGUUGUUUGCAAUGCUAUAUACUUUUGGUUUAGGAAUUCAUAUUCAAAUUGAGAUCUAGACUUGUGAAUCUCAGGUGGAACUGCUUUAUGUCUUCAGAAAUAGUUUCUAGAGGAAAGAUUCAAAUGUAUGUUUUAGAUUUCAUAUACAGUCAAAAUUUUUAUAACUGUUUAUUUUUAGACUGAUUUUCAGUUUCAGUUUCAUAAUUCAUAUGUCAGGAUUGAACUACUAUAUAUGCUUACGUUCAGUUUCAUUUUCGGUUUCACUUUCAAAUGUCAGAUCUCAGUAUUGAACUGAUAUAUAUGUUUACAAUCUGUUUCAUUUUCGGUUUCAGUUUCCUAUUUCAUAUAUUAGUAUUGAACUGCUAUAUAUGUUUACAGUCUGUUUCAUUUUCGGUUUCAAUUUCAUAUUUCAGUAUCAUAUUUCAAAACUCAUUUUUAGCUUAGAGCUGGUUUAUAGAAUCUGAAACUGAAACUGAUAAGACACGUUCAGUCUCAUUUUCAGAUUCAUCUUUCAGAUUCACUUGAAUUGUGAUAUACAUGUAUUCGUAGAUUGUUAAUUCAAAUUUUUUAUUUUACAUUUGGGAGUUCAGGUUACGAGAUCUACUACCUAGAUUUUCAGAAAUUCAUCGCACAUGACCUACCUACAAUUGAUAUCUAGAUGGCAAAAGAGAAGUACUACGUGGUUCUCGUUGGCUGUCGAUCGGGAAUUUACCUGACAUGGGACGAAGCUAGGCUCGAGGUCGAGGGAUUCAGUGGAUCGAGAUAUCGGGCAUUCAAGAAUUAGAGGGAGGCGGUUUCCUGCUGGGAGAGUUACUUCAGUGGAAGGAGUGCACAGUUGUGGCUUGACACCGGACUUUUGGCGAUUUAAGUCGUUGCACAUUCAGACGAGGUUGACAUCCUUUGUUCGUCAACUUCGUCUAUCCAUCAGACGACCGUGGCCAUGGUUUCUAGGGCCACGACGACUGAUGAUUUGAUCCCAUCAUAUGGGGAGAGUGUUAUUGGACUUUUGAUUGCCAUUCUCGUUAUUUUCUUUGCGCUACUUAUCAUUAUUAAAUUCUAGUUGUAGAGGAUGUGUAAGUGAAAGAAUCCUUUAGAUUUUCCUUUUUUU